RNAcentral lists this ribosomal RNA (492 nucleotides) under uncultured bacterium. RNAcentral describes it as "partial 16S ribosomal RNA". It matches the Rfam family "Bacterial small subunit ribosomal RNA", at positions 29 to 507 of the family's 1533-position model. The record is from RNAcentral.
AGUGAACGCUGGCGGUAGGCCUAACACAUGCAAGUCGAACGGCAGCACAGUAAGAGCUUGCUCUUACGGGUGGCGAGUGGCGGACGGGUGAGGAAUACAUCGGAAUCUACUUUUUCGUGGGGGAUAACGUAGGGAAACUUACGCUAAUACCGCAUACGACCUACGGGUGAAAGCAGGGGAUCUUCGGACCUUGCGCGAUUGAAUGAGCCGAUGUCGGAUUAGCUAGUUGGCGGGGUAAAGGCCCACCAAGGCGACGAUCCGUAGCUGGUCUGUGAGGAUGGUAGCCCGCAUUGGAGCUGAGACACGGACCAGAGUACUACGGGAGGGAGCAGUGUGGAAUAUGGGACAAUGGGCGCAAGCAUGAUCCAGUGAGACCGCGUGGGUGAAGAAGGCCUUCGGGUUGUAAAGCCCUUUUGUUGGGAAAGAACAGCUGCAGGUUAUUACCACGCGGUUCUGACGGUACCGAAUGAAUAAGCACCGGCUAACUUCGUG